AUCCAGCUGACGAGUCCUAAAUAGGACGAAAUGCGCGUCAAACUGGAU
This is a non-coding RNA of Schistosoma mansoni, 48 nucleotides long. The record is from Rfam. Lineage: Eukaryota; Metazoa; Platyhelminthes; Trematoda; Strigeidida; Schistosomatidae.